UACGAAGGGUGCUAGCGUUGUUCGGAAUCACUGGGCGUAAAGCGCGCGUAGGCGGCUUUUCAAGUAAGGGGUGAAAUCCCCAGGCUCAACCUGGGAAUUGCCUUUUAAACUGUAAAGCUGGAGUACUGGAGGGGAUAGCGGAAUUCCUAAUGUAGAGGUGAAAUUCGUAGAUAUUAGGAGGAACACCGGUGGCGAAGGCGGGUAGCUGGACAGUAACUGACGCUGAAGUGCGAAGGCGUGGGGAUCAAACAGG
This 253-nucleotide ribosomal RNA is filed under the name uncultured bacterium. RNAcentral describes it as "partial 16S ribosomal RNA". It matches the Rfam family "Bacterial small subunit ribosomal RNA", at positions 524 to 776 of the family's 1533-position model. The record is from RNAcentral.